RNAcentral lists this microRNA precursor (191 nucleotides) under Oryza glumipatula. Its description in RNAcentral is "MIR812 microRNA precursor family". It matches the Rfam family "MIR812 microRNA precursor family". The record is from Rfam by way of RNAcentral. Lineage: Eukaryota; Viridiplantae; Streptophyta; Magnoliopsida; Poales; Poaceae.
AAUAAGCACAGCAAUAAAUUUCCGUGUUUUACUCGUCUUAUUUGAAAUUUUUUUAUGAAGAGUAUUUUUGUUGUUAUUAAAUUGUACAGUAUGAAUAGUACUUUAUGUGUGACUUAUGGUUUUUACUUUUUUAAAAAAAAACUAAAACGGACGAUUAAAAUUGGACACGAAAAUUUAUAACUACAUUUAUU